This 70-nucleotide transfer RNA is filed under the name Fukomys damarensis (Damara mole-rat). It matches the Rfam family "tRNA". From Rfam's summary of the family: Transfer RNA (tRNA) molecules are approximately 80 nucleotides in length. The record is from Rfam by way of RNAcentral. Lineage: Eukaryota; Metazoa; Chordata; Mammalia; Rodentia; Bathyergidae.
GGGGAUGUAGCUCAUUGGUAGAGCGCUUGGCUAACACAUACGAGGCCCUGGAUUCAAUUCCCUGUCCCUA